Molecule: ribosomal RNA, 253 nt
Filed under: uncultured prokaryote
Description: partial 16S ribosomal RNA
Rfam family: Bacterial small subunit ribosomal RNA
Source: RNAcentral
UACAGAGGGUGCAAACGUUGUUCGGAAUUACUGGGCGUAAAGCGCGUGUAGGCGGCUUCGAAAGUCGGAUGUGAAAUCCCGCGGCUCAACCGUGGAAGUGCACUCGAUACUGCGAAGCUAGAGUCCUGGAGAGGAAGGUGGAAUGCUUGGUGUAGAGGUGAAAUUCGUAGAUAUCAAGCGGAACACCGGUGGCGAAGGCGGCCUUCUGGACAGUGACUGACGCUGAGACGCGAAAGCGUGGGGAGCAAACAGG